CAGUAUGCAAACCCUGGGUGUCGAGUCGUAAGACCUGAUGCCCUCCCUAUACGAAACAGAUUGUAAUUAACGUGAAUUAAAGAGAGACGCGGCCCCAGCAUACAUUGUCAUAUUGUCAUUGUCAUGUUGAGCGGCCGGUCUUUUACUAAAAGUAAUGUAACUUACAACUUUCAGCAACGGAUGUCUAGGUUCCCACAACGAUGAAGAACGCAGCGAAAUGCGAUACGUAAUGCGAAUUGCAAUUUCUCGUGAAUCAUCAAAAUUUUGAACGCACAUUGCGCUUCCGGGAUAUGCCCGGUAGCAUGCUUAUCUGAGUGUCCGCGAACCCCACUCAGCCUUGUUACUGUACUCGUAUUGUAAUGAGCGCUGGACUGUGGCACUGCACCGAUUUGAGUAUUGGUGCUGUGUUGGAAUGCGUGACGUUUUUCUGCGUGGCGAGGCCUUUGGUUGUGUCUCGUGCGGUACUAUGCAGUCGUCUCUGGUAGAGGCACUUUACGUGCAUUCGAAAGGAGAGUUGGUUGUAUAUGUGCGUGCACUUUGAGGCAGUGUGCCAUGGGCGCACGAAUCUGACGUAACAUAGUUGGUCGGUUCUGUGUGUGUUUUCGUUUCGGAUCUCAGAUUAAGUAAGGAUACCCGCUGAUU
RNAcentral lists this ribosomal RNA (642 nucleotides) under Asterionellopsis glacialis. Its description in RNAcentral is "eukaryotic LSU rRNA". The stretch from base 166 to 320 matches the Rfam family "5.8S ribosomal RNA". The record is from RNAcentral. Lineage: Eukaryota; Bacillariophyta; Plagiogrammaphyceae; Rhaphoneidales; Asterionellopsidaceae.